This 495-nucleotide ribosomal RNA is filed under the name uncultured bacterium. RNAcentral describes it as "partial 16S ribosomal RNA". It matches the Rfam family "Bacterial small subunit ribosomal RNA", at positions 28 to 507 of the family's 1533-position model. The record is from RNAcentral.
GACGAACGCUGGCGGCGUGCCUAAUACAUGCAAGUAGAACGCUGAAGGAGGAGCUUGCUCUUCUGGAUGAGUUGCGAACGGGUGAGUAACGCGUAGGUAACCUGCCUGGUAGCGGGGGAUAACUAUUGGAAACGAUAGCUAAUACCGCAUAAUAGUAGAUGUUGCAUGAUAUUUACUUAAAAGGUGCAAUUGCACCACUACCAGAUGGACCUGCGUUGUAUUAGCUAGUUGGUGGGGUAACGGCUCACCAAGGCGACGAUACAUAGCCGACCUGAGAGGGUGAUCGGCCACACUGGGACUGAGACACGGCCCAGACUCCUACGGGAGGCAGCAGUAGGGAAUCUUCGGCAAUGGACGAAAGUCUGACCGAGCAACGCCGCGUGAGGGAAGAAGGGUUUCGGAUCGUAAAGCUCUGUUGUAAGAGAAGAACGAGUGUGAGAGUGGAAAGUUCACACUGUGACGGUAUCUUACCAGAAAGGGACGGCUAACUACGUG